This 24-nucleotide non-coding RNA is filed under the name Arabidopsis thaliana (thale cress). The record is from RNAcentral. Lineage: Eukaryota; Viridiplantae; Streptophyta; Magnoliopsida; Brassicales; Brassicaceae.
UAUGUCGGCCGAGUUCACACGUGC